AGCGGAACGAUGGUAGCUUGCUACCAGGCGUCGAGCGGCGGACGGGUGAGUAAUACUUAGGAAUCUACCUAGUAGUGGGGGAUAGCACGGGGAAACUCGUAUUAAUACCGCAUACGACCUACGGGAGAAAGGGGGCAGUUUACUGCUCUCGCUAUUAGAUGAGCCUAAGUCGGAUUAGCUAGAUGGUGGGGUAAAGGCCUACCAUGGCGACGAUCUGUAGCUGGUCUGAGAGGAUGAUCAGCCACACCGGGACUGAGACACGGCCCGGACUCCUACGGGAGGCAGCAGUGGGGAAUAUUGGACAAUGGGGGAAACCCUGAUCCAGCCAUGCCGCGUGUGUGAAGAAGGCCUUUUGGUUGUAAAGCACUUUAAGCAGUGAAGAAGACUCUUCGGUUAAUACCCGGAGACGAUGACAUUAGCUGCAGAAUAAGCACCGGCUAACUCUGUGCCAGCAGCCGCGGUAAUACAGAGGGUGCAAGCGUUAAUCGGAAUUACUGGGCGUAAAGCGAGCGUAGGUGGCUUGAUAAGUCAGAUGUGAAAUCCCCGGGCUUAACCUGGGAACUGCAUCUGAAACUGUUAGGCUAGAGUAGGUGAGAGGGAAGUAGAAUUUCAGGUGUAGCGGUGAAAUGCGUAGAGAUCUGAAGGAAUACCGAUGGCGAAGGCAGCUUCCUGGCAUCAUACUGACACUGAGGCUCGAAAGCGUGGGUAGCAAACAGGAUUAGAUACCCUGGUAGUCCACGCCGUAAACGAUGUCUACUAGUCGUUGGGUCCCUUGAGGACUUAGUGACGCAGCUAACGCAAUAAGUAGACCGCCUGGGGAGUACGGCCGCAAGGUUAAAACUCAAAUGAAUUGACGGGGGCCCGCACAAGCGGUGGAGCAUGUGGUUUAAUUCGAUGCAACGCGAAGAACCUUACCUGGUCUUGACAUAUCUAGAAUCCUGCAGAGAUGCGGGAGUGCCUUCGGGAAUUAGAAUACAGGUGCUGCAUGGCUGUCGUCAGCUCGUGUCGUGAGA
Molecule: ribosomal RNA, 1013 nt
Filed under: Psychrobacter sp. BAL289
Lineage: Bacteria; Pseudomonadati; Pseudomonadota; Gammaproteobacteria; Moraxellales; Moraxellaceae
Description: bacterial SSU rRNA
Rfam family: Bacterial small subunit ribosomal RNA
Source: RNAcentral